Molecule: ribosomal RNA, 274 nt
Filed under: uncultured bacterium
Lineage: Bacteria
Description: partial 16S ribosomal RNA
Rfam family: Bacterial small subunit ribosomal RNA
Source: RNAcentral
AUACGGAGGGUGCAAGCGUUGUUCGGAAUCACUGGGCGUAAAGGGCGCGCAGGCGGUCCUGCAAGUCAGAUGUGAAAGCCCACGGCUCAACCGUGGAAGUGCAUUUGAAACUGCAGGACUUGAGUAUCAGAGGGGAAAGUGGAAUUCCCGGUGUAGAGGUGAAAUUCGUAGAUAUCGGGAGGAAUACCGGUGGCGAAGGCGACUUUCUGGCUGAAUACUGACGCUAAGGCGCGAAAGCGUGGGGAGCAAACAGGAUUAGAAACCCGAGUAGUCC